AGAGUUUGAUCCUGGCUCAGAACGAACGCUGGCGGCAGGCCUAACACAUGCAAGUCGGACGAUGGCUUCGGCCAUAGUGGCGCACGGGUGAGUAACGCGUGGGAACCUACCCUAAGGUUGGGAACAACGGAGGGAAACUUCCGCUAAUACCCAAUAUCUCCUCCGGGAGAAAGAUUUAUCGCCUAAGGAGGGGCCCGCGUUGGAUUAGCUAGUUGGUGGGGUAAAAGCCUACCAAGGCUGCGAUCCAUAGCUGGUCUGAGAGGAUGAUCAGCCACACUGGGACUGAGACACGGCCCAGACUCCUACGGGAGGCAGCAGUGGGGAAUAUUGGACAAUGGGCGCAAGCCUGAUCCAGCCAUGCCGCGUGAGUGAAGAAGGCCCUUAGGGUUGUAAAGCUCUUUCAGCGGGGACGAUGAUGACGGUACCCGCAGAAGAAGCCCCGGCUAACUUCGUGCCAGCAGCCGCGGUAAUACGAAGGGGGCUAGCGUUGUUCAGAUUUACUGGGCGUAAAGGGCGCGUAGGCGGAUAAUCAAGUCAGAGGUGAAAGCCCCGGGCUCAACCUGGGAACUGCCUUUGAAACUGAUUGUCUUGAGUACGGAAGAGGAUGGUGGAAUACCCAGUGUAGAGGUGAAAUUCGUAGAUAUUGGGUGGAACACCGGUGGCGAAAGCGACCAUCUGGUCCGUAACUGAC
RNAcentral lists this ribosomal RNA (691 nucleotides) under uncultured bacterium. RNAcentral's name for it is "bacterial SSU rRNA". It matches the Rfam family "Bacterial small subunit ribosomal RNA", at positions 8 to 744 of the family's 1533-position model. The record is from RNAcentral.